Molecule: ribosomal RNA, 446 nt
Filed under: uncultured bacterium
Lineage: Bacteria
Description: partial 16S ribosomal RNA
Rfam family: Bacterial small subunit ribosomal RNA
Source: RNAcentral
CCUACGGGUGGCAGCAGUCGAGAAUCAUUCACAAUGGGGGAAACCCUGAUGGUGCGACGCCGCGUGGGGGAAUGAAGGUCUUCGGAUUGUAAACCCCUGUCAUGUGGGAGCAAAUUAAAAAGAUAGUACCACAAGAGGAAGAGACGGCUAACUCUGUGCCAGCAGCCGCGGUAAUACAGAGGUCUCAAGCGUUGUUCGGAAUCACUGGGCGUAAAGCGUGCGUAGGCUGUUUCGUAAGUCGUGUGUGAAAGGCGGGGGCUCAACCCGCGGACGGCACAAGAUACUGCGAGACUAGAGUAAUGGAGGGGGAACCGGAAUUCUCGGUGUAGCAGUGCAAUGCGUAGAUAUCGAGAGGAACACUCGUGGCGAAGGCGGGUUCCUGGACAUUAACUGACGCUGAGGCACGAAGGCCAGGGGAGCGAAAGGGAUUAGAUACCCGAGUAGUC